Picea glauca (white spruce) is the source of this 46-nucleotide non-coding RNA. The record is from Rfam. NCBI's taxonomy places the organism in Eukaryota, Viridiplantae, Streptophyta, Pinopsida, Pinales, Pinaceae.
UUAACGGUGUCAUUAGACACCACCUUUCAUCUUUGAAAUUCAUUAU